This 253-nucleotide ribosomal RNA is filed under the name uncultured bacterium. RNAcentral's name for it is "partial 16S ribosomal RNA". It matches the Rfam family "Bacterial small subunit ribosomal RNA", at positions 524 to 776 of the family's 1533-position model. The record is from RNAcentral.
UACGGAGGGAGCUAGCGUUGUUCGGAAUUACUGGGCGUAAAGCGUGCGCAGGCGGCUUUGCAAGACAGAUGUGAAAUCCCCGGGCUUAACCUGGGAACUGCAUUUGUGACUGCAUGGCUGGAGUGCGGCAGAGGGGGAUGGAAUUCCGCGUGUAGCAGUGAAAUGCGUAGAUAUGCGGAGGAACACCGAUGGCGAAGGCAAUCCCCUGGGCCUGCACUGACGCUCAUGCACGAAAGCGUGGGGAGCAAACAGG